This 466-nucleotide ribosomal RNA is filed under the name uncultured bacterium. RNAcentral's name for it is "partial 16S ribosomal RNA". It matches the Rfam family "Bacterial small subunit ribosomal RNA", at positions 29 to 507 of the family's 1533-position model. The record is from RNAcentral.
AUGAACGCUGGCGGCGCGCCUAACACAUGCAAGUCGAACGAUUAAAGCACCUUCGGGUGUGUAUAAAGUGGCGAACGGCUGAGUAACACGUGGGCAACCUGCCCCUCUCAUUGGGAUAGCCACGGGAAACCGUGGAUAAUACCGAAUACUUCGGGACUUCCGCAUGGAAGACUCGAGAAAGCUCCGGCGGAGAGGGAUGGGCCCGCGGCCUGUUAGCUUGUUGGUGGGGUAAUGGCCUACCAAGGCAAUGAUGGGUAGCUGGGUUGAGAGACCGACCAGCCAGAUUGGGACUGAGACACGGCCCAGACUCCUACGGGAGGCAGCAGUGGGGAAUCUUGCACAAUGGGCGAAAGCCUGAUGCAGCGGCGCCGCGUGCGGGAUGAAGGCCUUCGGGUUGUAAACCGCUUUCAGCAGGGACGAGGCGAAAGUGACGGUACCUGCAGAAGAAGCCCCGGCUAACUACGUG